AGGUGUGACGUCACGCAUCAGACCU
This 25-nucleotide ribosomal RNA is filed under the name Dicranum undulatum. RNAcentral describes it as "partial 26S ribosomal RNA". Lineage: Eukaryota; Viridiplantae; Streptophyta; Bryopsida; Dicranales; Dicranaceae. The record is from RNAcentral. RNAcentral also lists the same sequence under 1 other name.